UACGUAGGGUGCAAGCGUUGUCCGGAAUUAUUGGGCGUAAAGAGCUCGUAGGCGGUUUGUUGCGUCGGCUGUGAAAUCCCGAGGCUCAACCUCGGGUCUGCAGUCGAUACGAGCAAACUAGAGUGUUGCAGGGGAGACUGGAAUUCCUGGUGUAGCGGUGAAAUGACGCAGAUAUCAGGAGGAACACCGGUGGCGAAGGCGGGUCUCUGGGCAACAACUGACGCUGGAGGAGCGAAAGCCGUGGGGAGCGAACAGG
Molecule: ribosomal RNA, 256 nt
Filed under: uncultured bacterium
Lineage: Bacteria
Description: partial 16S ribosomal RNA
Rfam family: Bacterial small subunit ribosomal RNA
Source: RNAcentral